ACCCCUGUCACAUUGUUGCCACCUGCUCCCUGAUUCCCCCAGCAGUCCCCAAAGCUCCCCAUCGCUUGGAUUUUGCUCUCCAUCCCUGCAGGAUGUCUGCAUUUGUUCCAAAAGAGCUAUGGCUGGCACAGACGGAGAGGAGGAGACGGACGUCGAUACACAGACUGAUAGAGAAGAAGCCAUGGAAGUGGACGGAGAGGAUACUGGAGAGGAAGAGAUGGAUGUGGAUAUGUACGAGACAGAGGAAGAGAUGGAGGUGGAAACGAAAGAUUAUAUUGAAGAGAUGGAUAUUGAUCUAAAAGACAAGGAGGAAGACAUGGUCUUGGGAUGAAGACCGAUGCCAGCAGCAGAACAGGACUUAGGGACAUCACAGACACAGAUGCCACCCUGCUGUACAUACGUUUUACAGUUGUUGUGUUCAGGAUAGAGGUUUUAGAGUUUGUUUAAGUUGUCUGUAAAUACGUUUCAUAGAGUUUUGUUAGAGCUGUUCUCAGGUAAAUAGGUUCUAUAGUUUGUUGUUGUUGUUGUUGUUGUUGUUGUUGUUGUUGUUGUUGUUGUUACCAAUAUUCUUACAGUGUAAAUAUGUGGUGUAGUUCAUUCUUGUUCCUUUUCUUCUACAGAUAAACAGUGUUUGAUUUUCACACCCCAGUUCUCUUUGCAUUUUCUUCGGGCACAUUUGCAAAGCUGUGGGUUGUUUCGGGAACAAUGUUUGCAGGACUCUAAAAAGAGUAUCAAAACCGCUCUGCCACAAUCUCAGCUGCUGCUGCUGCCCCAAAAAGCACUGGCUGGCUUUGCUCACACAAUCACAUGAUUGUGGUGUCAUUUCUACCACACCACAGGACAGCGAUGUUUUCCCUCUUCUCCUGGAAAUACCUACAGCACUUGUGGGUAGCA
This 894-nucleotide long non-coding RNA is filed under the name Cyanistes caeruleus (blue tit). RNAcentral describes it as "lncRNA (ENSCCEG00000003529.1)". The record is from RNAcentral. Lineage: Eukaryota; Metazoa; Chordata; Aves; Passeriformes; Paridae.